AGUGAACGCUGGCGGUAGGCCUAACACAUGCAAGUCGAACGGCAGCACAGUAAGAGCUUGCUCUUACGGGUGGCGAGUGGCGGACGGGUGAGGAAUACAUCGGAAUCUACUUUUUCGUGGGGGAUAACGUAGGGAAACUUACGCUAAUACCGCAUACGACCUACGGGUGAAAGCAGGGGAUCUUCGGACCCUGCGCGAUUGAAUGAGCCGAUGUCGGAUUAGCUAGUUGGCGGGGUAAAGGCCCACCAAGGCGACGAUCCGUAGCUGGUCUGAGAGGAUGAUCAGCCACACUGGCACUGAGACACGGUCCAGACUCCUACGGGAGGCAGCAGUGGGGAAUAUUGGACAAUGGGCGCAAGCCUGAUCCAGCCAUACCGCGUGGGUGAAGAAGGCCUUCGGGUUGUAAAGCCCUUUUGUUGGGAAAGAAAAGCAGCAGGUUAAUACCCCGCUGUUCUGACGGUACCCAAAGAAUAAGCACCGGCUAACUUCGUG
RNAcentral lists this ribosomal RNA (492 nucleotides) under uncultured bacterium. RNAcentral's name for it is "partial 16S ribosomal RNA". It matches the Rfam family "Bacterial small subunit ribosomal RNA", at positions 29 to 507 of the family's 1533-position model. The record is from RNAcentral.